CCUACGGGAGGCAGCAGUGGGGAAUUUUGGACAAUGGGCGCAAGCCUGAUCCAGCCAUGCCGCGUGUGGGAAGAGGGCCUUCGGGUUGUAAACCACUUUUGUCAGGGAAGAAACGGCUCUUACUAAUAUUAGGAGCUAAUGACGGUACCUGAAGAAUAAGCACCGGCUAACUACGUGCCAGCAGCCGCGGUAAUACGUAGGGUGCAAGCGUUAAUCGGAAUUACUGGGCGUAAAGCGUGCGCAGGCGGCUUCGCAAGACAGAUGUGAAAUCCCCGGGCUCAACCUGGGAACUGCAUUUGUGACUGCAUGGCUAGAGUACGGUAGAGGGGGAUGGAAUUCCGCGUGUAGCAGUGAAAUGCGUAGAUAUGCGGAGGAACACCGAUGGCGAAGGCAAUCCCCUGGACCUGUACUGACGCUCAUGCACGAAAGCGUGGGGAGCAAACAGGAUUAGAUACCCUGGUAGUCCACGCCCUAAACGAUGUCAACUGGUUGUUGGACGGCUUGCUGUUCAGUAACGAGCUAACGCGUGAAGUUGACCGCCUGGGGGUAAGGUACGGCCGCGAGUAGUUAACGUUACAAGAGAGUUGNGGCGNGAGAGNGCGACGGACGACGACGAGGGAGGAGG
RNAcentral lists this ribosomal RNA (625 nucleotides) under uncultured bacterium. Its description in RNAcentral is "bacterial SSU rRNA". The stretch from base 1 to 541 matches the Rfam family "Bacterial small subunit ribosomal RNA", at positions 338 to 873 of the family's 1533-position model. The record is from RNAcentral.